AUGGGAGAGCAGGGCGGCGUGGUCUUCAUCGGUCGUGGGUGUGCAGGAGCAGGCGGAGGUGAGGAGGACGACGGCAGGGGAAAGAGCGGCCAGGUCGAAGCGGUGGAGUGGAGGAGUGUCGCUAGCCGCGUCACAGACGAGCGAGGAGGAGGAGGACGCCUGGAUUUGGCCUCGGCCUCGGCCUCAGCCCGUGGAGUUGGCGAUGGCAUCGUCAGAGGCCCGGGCGUCCUCCCCGGACAAGGCACUCGCGCUAGGCGGCGGCGAUCUGUGCGCCGGUUCAAGUUUGAUAUGUGGCAUGAGGUUGGGAUUUGUGAUGAAAAUGGUUGGAUGUUGAUCCAAGGGUGUAGAAAGGUGAAUGAGAUUCAAGAACGAUUCAGGCAGCUUAUGAUUUUAUUUCCUAAUAUUUCUUGGCUUGCAAACAGAGGCGGUAAGACGGUCGCAAGAAUGCCAAGCUCUUCAGCUGUGGCAUCACGCAAUAAUGGAAUUGAGCAUUCUGGGCAAAACAUAAAGGACAACGAAUAUGCGAGGUUGGUGACACCAGCUGAACAUGCAACAGCUGACAAGAAAUUUUGCCUGAGCAACCAAACAUCUUGUAUCUUCGUGAAAUUUGGCUGUGGCUGCGCGUUCGACCGGCCAGCCGAGGAUCUCCAGAUAGCAUGUGCGCCUAUUCUCCUUGCCCUUGAGUUCCUGCCAAAGCAGCAGCUCCUGUGUACCUCGCCGUCCGUUGUGGCAUCACCCUUCUUGUCCACCACCCUAACUCCGUCGCACUUCAGGCCUAGCAUGCACAGUGGUGCCGCGAGGAUUUGCUGCCGUGGGAGGAGGGGCCCGACCCAGAUGGCGGCCACCGGUGUAGUUGUUGGAUUCCUCUUGAAAAAUACCAUAGAUGGAAGGCCCGACCUCCAGCACCUGCACCUCUCACUGACGGGCACCUCCACCGCGCUUCGCGCCAGUAGCAAGGGUCGCCGCGCCCCGCGCCCAGGAGCAAGGCGAGCAAGGGACGCCGCGAGCGCACCCAGGAGCACGGGCUACCGCGCCCAGGAGCGCCACGAGCCGCGCCCAGGAGCGCCACGAGCCGCGCCCAGGAGCAAGGACCAAGGGACGCCGCGCGCCAUGGCCAGGGUUCAGGCCAACGCGCCCAGGAGCACGCGCUGCCGCGAGCCGAGCGCCAUGGCCAGGGGCUCGGGCUCGGGCCGCCGCGCCCAGGAAGAGGGAGGAGAGAGAGAGGUCGCGCCGCUGGGACUUCACGGCGGCUCCAGGCGGAGCUCGCCGGCAGGAGGAGGCGGCGGCCGAAGGGAGGUCCGCCGCGGCGCGUACUGCACGCUGACGGGCGCACCUUGGCUUGCACCAAAUCUAUGGGCUUAUGCAACUGCAGCGGGUGAACAAUGCAAAGCUGAUAGAAGGUGUUUGCUUGUUCACUCGGCAUCAGUUCCAUCAAUUUGCAAGUUCAUGGUACUACGUCUGCAAGCUACAUCUUGUGAAGAUUUGGUUACUGCAUUAUAUGGUGGUGUUUCACUUCCCUCGGUCAAGGAUUCUCUGGAGUAUUGGCAAUUGCAGGCUUCAUCAAUCAGAUCAUGUGUAGAGAUAAACUUCUUUUCUCAUAUGCUCUUUCUCUAUAUAACUGGGUCCAAAUACACAAUGAGUGUUGUCAUGGUUUGCUUUCUCCUUCAAAUAAAUUUAUCAUGCCUGAUUAGUUUGCAUCUCAUGCUGGUUAGUGCUUACAUAAUCUCUUUAGGUGUGCAUGAACAGAAUGGCUUCCUCUUCUUGCGAACCGCACUGAUGUUGGCUUCUGGUUUCUGCUGCAAUGGGUUUUUCAUUCGACUGGAUCUCCUCACCUUGUCAUCUGAUUGCUCUUCGUUUGCUGCUCUGCUUACCAAGGAAAUACCAAAGGAAGUAGCUUGUCGUUUGAAUAUCCCAAGCACGGACUGGUGGGACUACAGUUUGGCAAGCAGCGCUUCACUAGCUAGGACUGAGUAUGAUGAACAAUCACAUGACGUCUGCAUCUUGUUCAAGCAUGGAUGCAAGAAAUUUCUCCUGAAAACAGGACUUGAGGUUGAGAACAACUAUCACGUUGGUGAUUUCCCUGAUAUUUGGUUCUACAAGUGUGUCAUAUGGACCAAUGAAAGCAAAGAUAUUCCGGAGAUAAUAACUACAUGGGCUACUCCAAAUGGUCUGACAGUGGAACCAACACCUUUUAUAGGCCUUCAAGUACCUGUGGAAGCCAUUGGCGCAACCGGGUCAUCUAGUAAGGGGAAAGACAAAGAGUUGAUUCCAAUGCAUGCAGAAGAAAGUCAUGAAGACAGCGAUGCUGAGGGUAGUGCAGCUAGAAAUUUCAUCGGCUUAAAGCCUCCAGAACGAAAACGUAAACCAGUAUAUGCCGUGGAGCUGGGCACAAGAGGUACUACAUGUCCGCAGAGAGGUGAUCUCCUUUGCAAAGAAAGGAAAGAGGCCAAAUGUUCAAACUGCGGGGUUGGUGGACACAAGAAGAACACCUGCAACAAACCUAAAGUGGUGCUGCAUGUUGUUGAAAAUGCAACCUUGGAGCAGAUUUUCAUCUAGAAAAAUCUGAAUUCUUUUGUAGUCGGCUCCGUAGGCAUAAUAGUUCUGUAGCCUCUUGUA
This 2616-nucleotide ribosomal RNA is filed under the name Triticum aestivum (bread wheat). Its description in RNAcentral is "partial small subunit ribosomal RNA". Lineage: Eukaryota; Viridiplantae; Streptophyta; Magnoliopsida; Poales; Poaceae. The record is from RNAcentral.